This 191-nucleotide ribosomal RNA is filed under the name Glomus sp. Its description in RNAcentral is "partial large subunit ribosomal RNA". Lineage: Eukaryota; Fungi; Glomeromycota; Glomeromycetes; Glomerales; Glomeraceae. The record is from RNAcentral.
UUGAAGUGUUAUAGCCUCUGGUAGAUGUGGUGAUCGGGACUGAGGAUUGCAACAAAUAUCCUUUGGGCUAUCCGUCUGACCUUUGAAAGUUGCUCAGGUGCCGAAAGCGUGCUUACGGCCAUCUAAGUUAACGGGUUAAUAGGUUAGAACGUGAUUACAUUCGUUAAGGACGUUGGCGUAAUGGCUUUAAA